This 241-nucleotide unclassified non-coding RNA is filed under the name Hevea brasiliensis (rubber tree). The record is from RNAcentral. Lineage: Eukaryota; Viridiplantae; Streptophyta; Magnoliopsida; Malpighiales; Euphorbiaceae.
GGUGACAAAGAAAAGUGUGGGUGUAGCUACGCGCUCACUGAGCAUGACUGGAUCAGUAAUUUCAGCUUACUCGCCUGUUCGGCAUGCUCAGCCCUAACAGGAUCUAGACAAGGCAUCGGAUUGACCCACGAUGCAAUGAAGUCUAUGUAUGUGGAUAUCCCUGUAUGCCCUGGAUAUUUAUACAUCUUUUUGGCUUUUCACAACUUGUCAAAACUGAUGACUGCUAUGAUAGUGUUUGUUA